AUUGAACGCUGGCGGCAGGCCUAACACAUGCAAGUCGGACGGUAGCACAGAGAGCUUGCUCUCGGGUGACGAGUGGCGGACGGGUGAGUAAUGUCUGGGGAUCUGCCCGGUAGAGGGGGAUAACCACUGGAAACGGUGGCUAAUACCGCAUAACGUCGCAAGACCAAAGAGGGGGACCUUCGGGCCUCUCACUAUCGGAUGAACCCAGAUGGGAUUAGCUAGUAGGCGGGGUAAUGGCCCACCUAGGCGACGAUCCCUAGCUGGUCUGAGAGGAGGACCAGCCACACUGGAACUGAGACACGGUCCAGACUCCUACGGGAGGCAGCAGUGGGGAAUAUUGCACAAUGGGCGCAAGCCUGAUGCAGCCAUGCCGCGUGUGUGAAGAAGGCCUUCGGGUUGUAAAGCACUUUCAGCGGGGAGGAAGGCAUUAAGGUUAAUAACCUUAGUGAUUGACGUUACCCGCAGAAGAAGCACCGGCUAACUCCGUGCCAGCCGCCGCCGUAA
RNAcentral lists this ribosomal RNA (504 nucleotides) under uncultured bacterium. Its description in RNAcentral is "partial 16S ribosomal RNA". It matches the Rfam family "Bacterial small subunit ribosomal RNA", at positions 29 to 523 of the family's 1533-position model. The record is from RNAcentral.